GACGUAGGGUCCAAGCGUUGUCCGGAUUUACUGGGCGUAAAGAGCGCGUAGGCGGCUUGAUAAGUGUGAUGUGAAAUCUCCAGGGCUUAACCCGGAAACUGCACCGCAGACUGUCAGGCUUGAGGAAUGCAGAGGUAACUGGAAUUCCUGGUGUAGCGGUGAAAUGCGUUGAUAUCUGGAGGAACACCGGUGGCGAAGGCGACGUCCUGGACCGGCAUUGACGCUGAGGCGCGAAAGCCAGGGGAGCAAACGGG
Molecule: ribosomal RNA, 254 nt
Filed under: uncultured bacterium
Lineage: Bacteria
Description: partial 16S ribosomal RNA
Rfam family: Bacterial small subunit ribosomal RNA
Source: RNAcentral